Molecule: long non-coding RNA, 237 nt
Organism: Sebastes umbrosus (honeycomb rockfish)
Lineage: Eukaryota; Metazoa; Chordata; Actinopteri; Perciformes; Sebastidae
Exons: 4
Source: RefSeq, a predicted model, not a curated record
GCAUUGGGUUUGAAUCUGAGAAAUUGCCAAAUAGGCGAUUUUGCUUUUCGUUUUGACACCAAAUCUUCCGCCAUCGUCUUGUCUGUCAACUCUCUCUCGUCCUGUGUGUGAAAUCGGAUUCCUGUUACUCUGUGCUGAGACAGCAGACACUUUCAGUUUGUAGCGUCCAUUGUCCGGCAAUGUAUUGAUAACACUGCGCUGAUACGCUAAAAUGGACUAAAUGGGUUUUAUUUCUGU